This 725-nucleotide ribosomal RNA is filed under the name uncultured bacterium. Its description in RNAcentral is "bacterial SSU rRNA". The stretch from base 1 to 538 matches the Rfam family "Bacterial small subunit ribosomal RNA", at positions 338 to 873 of the family's 1533-position model. The record is from RNAcentral.
CCUACGGGAGGCAGCAGUGGGGAAUAUUGGACAAUGGGCGCAAGCCUGAUCCAGCAAUGCCGCGUGUGUGAAGAAGGCCUUCGGGUUGUAAAGCACUUUUAUCAGGAGCGAAAUCUGCAGGGCUAAUACCCAUGCAGUCUGACGGUACCUGAGGAAUAAGCACCGGCUAACUCCGUGCCAGCAGCCGCGGUAAUACGGAGGGUGCAAGCGUUAAUCGGAAUUACUGGGCGUAAAGCGUGCGUAGGCGGUUCGUUAAGUCUGUUGUGAAAGCCCCGGGCUCAACCUGGGAAUGGCAAUGGAUACUGGCGAGCUAGAGUGUGUCAGAGGAUGGUGGAAUUCCCGGUGUAGCGGUGAAAUGCGUAGAGAUCGGGAGGAACAUCAGUGGCGAAGGCGGCCAUCUGGGGACAACACUGACGCUGAGGCGACGAACGACGGUAGGGGUAGGACGAACGAAGGAGUUAGUACGUACCCGUACGGUACGUACCGACCGUACCCGUAAACCGUAACGUAGACGAACGUAGGUAGUAGUUGGUUCGUCUACCGUACGGUAGAGUCAGUGUCGAAGACGUAACCGUACGUUAACGUUACCGGUCCCGGCCCGUCGGGGUACGGUACGGGUUACCGGUCCGAACGACGUACGAAACCGUACGUAAACGUAGUAAGUUAGUUACGGACGUUGGAGGACGUUGGCCGACGGGACGACCGACCGAGGGGAGGGUAGGGAG